UGAGGACUCCAGGGGGACAAGAAAGUUGUAUGGGGUCAGAGAUAAGAGGCAACCGAUGCCACAGAAGCACGUUCUGUGGUUAACUUACUCUUGUGUUAUCCUCACAUGCCACUGAAACACAUUUUUUCUUAUGUUACACUGUUACACGUGCUGUAACCCUGAAAGCACAGUAUGUAUGAAAAGGUCGUCCUUUUGCUUAUUUUAGCAGCAGUGUUACUAUCUAUUCAUUGCACUGUGGACCCCUGGUUCCUGUACUGUGACAAGCAGGGACUAAUUGCUCUCUGCUCAUCUUCUCCACCAGUGAAGAUUUUGUAGGCCAUCUUGCAGAAGUUUUCUGUGCUGCUGUCAUGCCUGGGCCGGCUUUUUCGACUGGCGGGCUCCAAGAUACAAAUUUGCAUUUGGCACCCAGGAAUAUCCUGCUUCCAAGAAAGCUGGGUAAGUACUCUUUAUCUGUCAGCUCUUCUCCAUGUUGUUGCCUAUUUUUAUCUAACUGUGGGGAAAAGGUGGGAUUCCUGACAAAGGAUUUCAGACAUGUCAGCAAAACUAAAGCUGUAACAAGUCAGCUCUGGCCUGUAAAAAGCUUUCUUGGGCUUGCAGCUCUCCUAUUCGGACCUCGUGAUCCCUAG
This 626-nucleotide long non-coding RNA is filed under the name Struthio camelus australis. Its description in RNAcentral is "lncRNA (ENSSCUG00000010048.1)". The record is from RNAcentral. Lineage: Eukaryota; Metazoa; Chordata; Aves; Struthioniformes; Struthionidae.